UGGGGAAUAUUGGGCAAUGGGGGCAACCCUGACCCAGCGACGCCGCGUGAGGGAAGAAGGCCUUCGGGUCGUAAACCGCUUUUGUACGUGAAGAAGCAGAUGACGGUAGCGUACGAAUAAGUCCCGGCUAACUACGUGCCAGCAGCCGCGGUAAUACGUAGGGGACGAGCGUUGUCCGGAAUUACUGGGCGUAAAGGGCGCGCAGGCUGCGCGUCGAGUCGGCUGUCAAAGAUCCGGGCUCAACCCGGUGAAGCGGUCGAGACCGACGAGCUGGAGUGCUGCAGAGGCAAGUGGAAUUCCCGGUGUAGCGGUGAAAUGCGUAGAUAUCGGGAAGAACACCGGUGGCGAAGGCGACUUGCUGGGCAGCAACUGACGCUGAGGCGCGAAAGCCAGGGGAGCGAACG
This 404-nucleotide ribosomal RNA is filed under the name uncultured Synergistaceae bacterium. Its description in RNAcentral is "bacterial SSU rRNA". It matches the Rfam family "Bacterial small subunit ribosomal RNA", at positions 355 to 774 of the family's 1533-position model. The record is from RNAcentral. Lineage: Bacteria; Thermotogati; Synergistota; Synergistia; Synergistales; Synergistaceae.